Long non-coding RNA from Ipomoea nil (Japanese morning glory), 1185 nucleotides. RefSeq lists it as uncharacterized. The record is from RefSeq and is a predicted model, not a curated record. The transcript is spliced from 5 exons. NCBI's taxonomy places the organism in Eukaryota, Viridiplantae, Streptophyta, Magnoliopsida, Solanales, Convolvulaceae.
UUUGGCAGACAACCUCUAUUUGCAACCCUAAAACUCUGCCCCUCUCUCAGUUCUCACUCUCGAACCCUAAAAUCCUAAAUCGCGAAGCUUUCACUCUCACACCCUCAAUCCUCAUAGAAUCAUAGCACACCGAGUCACUGCUAGACGCCUAGACUGCCUCACGGCUCAACCCUCACUACCCCUCUCGAACAAUCGAACCCUAAAUCGCGCAGCUUUCACUCACGCCCCCCAGUUGCCGGCUCGCCGCUCACCGCCUCACGCCCUCACCCAUCUCAGUCCUCAGACUUGUUCCGAUUUUGGGUUCUUCACUUCUUCCAAGUUCCAACUCUUAAGGAUUGGAAGAUUUUUAUUUAGUGGCAGAUUGGCAGUAUGUUUAUUUAGUGGUGCGGCAGAUUAGCAGUAUGUGGAACUGUGGAAGCAUGUUUAUUUUUUUUCCUAAUGAACUAUGAAACAGUGGUGGAGAAGUGUAGAAAGUAAGGUCUAUUGGGAGAACUUACAUUCAUCAAAAGCAUCAAAGUAAGGUCUAUUGGGAGAAGAGGAGGAGAAGAAGAAAGGGUUUUUUCUUUCUCCCUCUGAUUCUGCCUGUGUCCAAAGGAGGAAACACACCAUUCACAUAUGUCAUUGUUGACAACCAAAAGUGAGUGUGUUAAUCUUUGCAAUCUUUGGGGAAUUUUAUGAGGUUGUGCUAUACAUAUUACUAUUGUCUUGAAGGGUCAUUGUUCUAUGAUGUUCCAGAAAAACGCCCACAUGCAUUUUCACUCCAGGAUAUCCACCCAAAUCAAAAUUGUCUCCGGCCCUUGAAGUAAAUAUUGCAGGAGGUAUACACAUCAUCUACACUUAAUCAAAGUCAUUGAAGUAGAAGGCUGUGGAUUAUGCAUUGAUCAAAGCCAUUGAAGCAAUGUUGGAUUUGAAGGCUUAUUUGGGUGCAGCGAGCAUACUUAAGUAGUAUUGAUUAAAUAGCAUACUUAAGUAUUGGGUAGCAUUGUUAUUGUCUUCAUCUCCAGUACAUGUCAUCUUUUGUUUUUUUGUUUUAUUGGUAGUGUGUCAUGUGCAAUUAGGUUACUGGUGGUAAGACAUCAUCAUGCAAUGAGAUUAUGGUGUAAGAAGUUUUAUAUUUGUCUUGCUGUGUAUAUGAUUGAGAUCUUAGUUGAACUAUAAACUAUUUAUCUUACAAGCGCCUAUUGA